This 1816-nucleotide long non-coding RNA is filed under the name Canis lupus familiaris (dog). RNAcentral describes it as "lncRNA (ENSCAFG00805018277.1, ENSCAFG00845002719.1)". Lineage: Eukaryota; Metazoa; Chordata; Mammalia; Carnivora; Canidae. The record is from RNAcentral.
UUUUUUUUUCAUUAAAAACAAACAAAAAAGUAAUAUAUGCUUUCAUGUUGUAUUAGUUUCCUCAGACUGCUAUAACAAACUACCACCAACUGAAUGACUUCACAACAGAAAUUUAUUCUGUCUCAGUUUUGAAUUUCAUGAUCAAGAUGUUUGUGGGGUUGGCUCUUUCUAAGGAUUGCUAGAAAAAUCUGUUCCAUGCCUUACCCCGAGAUUCUGGCAGUUGCUGGCAAUCUUUGCUGUUUCUUGGCUUACGGAAGCAUCGUCCCAAUUUCUGCAUCAUCUUCACGUGGUGUUCUCCUUGCAUGUAAUGUCUGUGUCUAAAUUUUCCCUUGUUAUAAGGAUACCAGUCAUAUUGGAUUAGUGGCCCACCCUACUCUGUAGGACCUCCUCUUAACUAAUGACAUCUGUAAUGACCCUAUUUCCAAAGAAGUCUUCAUUCUAAGAUACCAGAGGUUAAGAUUUUGACACAUGAAGUUAGGGGGGGAUGGACAUAGUUCAACCAAAAACACAUAUGAAUACAUUUAUCUUAACAGAUAACCACAUGGCGUUGUACAAGAGAUCUACCUACUCUGAACCUCAGAGUCUUCAUUCCUUAGGAGGGUUAUUGUGACUAUUCUCAUUCCCAAGACUGUGUCUCCAGGAGACCAGGGACUGUCCUGUCCUAUUGAAUAGCCUGAGAGAGAAGCAGGCCGAGCUUUGCUUCUUCUGCUCAUACAAGUACCUGUAACCAGGAUCCCCCUAUCCUACCACCAGUGCUGGUGGUAGAGUCUUUUGUUUCAUUCAAAUGCAAUCCUUGUACAUAAACUACUCUUCAUUACCAGCCUGGCAGCAACUAUGCACAUAGUUCCACUCCCAUUACCAGGAUGGCAUAACUCCCACUUCUCACCCUCCUGGUACCUGAGUGGUCACGAUUGCAACCUAUCACAUCCAGCUCCAUACUCUUCCCCUGAAUUAGUGGUACACUAGCCAACUAAUGCCUCCAGUCUCCUUGCCCCAGGUCUUGCCUUGUUCUCUCAAGACUAUCAAGGUGCAGAGCGGGGUGCCUGGGUGGCUCAGUGGUUGAGUGUCUGCCUUUGGCUCAGGUCAUAAUCCCGGGGUCCUGGGAUCAAGUCCUCCAUCAGUCUUCCCGUGGGGAGUCUGCUUCUUCCUUUGCCUAUGUAUCUGCCUCUCUCUCUGUGUCUCUCAUGAAUAAAUAAGUAAAAUCUUAAAAAAAAAAAAAGGUUCAGAGCUGAUGUUUUAGCCCAAGCCUCCAUACCCACCCUAAACAAUACAUAACCACACAUUCAGCGGUUCCUCUUAUCACAUGUCCUAUUAGACCUGAAACUCUCCAAUAACCAUAUUGUCAAAAUUAUACAUAGUGUAUUCCUAAUUCCUAGAAUGGGAUUCAAUUCAAUCCAACUUUUGGAGCAGUACAUUUGUAUAGCCUGUGAACCAGCUAUAAAAACAUUCUGGCAAUGAUUGUAUUCAUAAGUGAAUGCUAUCAAAAUCUUACAAUAUGCUUAAUAAAACCUAGUAGACUACACACUCACAAACAAGCCUAUAGGGUCAUAAAAGCAUGGGCUGAGAAAGAAAUCAAUGGGAAAAUCAGUCUGAAAGUUAAUUUCAUAUGUCAGCUUGGCUAGGUUGUGGUGCCUAAUUGUUUGGUCAAACACUAGUCCAGAUGUUACCGUGAAGGAGUUUUGUAGAUGUAAUUAACAUAAUCAGUAGACUUUAAGUAACAAAGAUUACUCUCCAAUAAUGCCUCCUGAAAUCAUCUGAAGCUCUUAAGAGCAAAAAACUGAGGUUUUCCAAAGAAGGAAUUCUGCUUCAAGACUGU